GACGAACGCUGGCGGCGUGCCUAAUACAUGCAAGUUGAACGCUAAAACUUUAACUGGUGCUUGCACCGACUUAAGUUUUUAGAGUAGCGGACGGGUGAGUAACACGUGGGUAACCUGCCCAUCAGAGGGGGAUAACACUUGGAAACAGGUGCUAAUACCGCAUAAUUCCUUUUACCGCAUGGUAAAAGGCUGAAAGGCGCUUCUGGUGUCACUGAUGGAUGGACCCGCGGUGCAUUAGCUAGUCGGUGGGGUAACGGCCUACCGAGGCGAUGAUGCAUAGCCGACCUGAGAGGGUGAUCGGCCACAUUGGGACUGAGACACGGCCCAAACUCCUACGGGAGGCAGCAGUAGGGAAUCUUCGGCAAUGGACGAAAGUCUGACCGAGCAACGCCGCGUGAGUGAAGAAGGUUUUCGGAUUGUAAAACUCUGUUAUAAGGGAAGAACGAUACAUGUAGGGAAUGACAAGUAUGUGACGGUACCUUAUGAGGAAGGGACGGCUAACUACGUGCCAGCAGCCGCCGUAAAAC
RNAcentral lists this ribosomal RNA (527 nucleotides) under uncultured bacterium. Its description in RNAcentral is "bacterial SSU rRNA". It matches the Rfam family "Bacterial small subunit ribosomal RNA", at positions 28 to 526 of the family's 1533-position model. The record is from RNAcentral.